RNA transcript from Coffea arabica (coffee), 2234 nucleotides. It is a transcript of the gene named protein ECERIFERUM 2-like, with no coding region annotated. NCBI's taxonomy places the organism in Eukaryota, Viridiplantae, Streptophyta, Magnoliopsida, Gentianales, Rubiaceae. The record is from RefSeq and is a predicted model, not a curated record.
UCAUAUAAUCAAAUCAUAUUCUUUUCUAAAUGAAAAGUCUUACACUUCUCCUUUAGUCCAUUUCUAGCUAGCUCGGCACCAAUUUCCUUUUUCCUUUAAGAUCUCACCUUCUCUGCACCUCCUUGUCUGAUCAUAUAUCAAGAUAUGGUAUCGACAGCGGGCGAAAACGCCGCCGUUUACGACGUAAGGCUGUCGUCGGUGGUCCCGGCGAGCAUCACCGGAGAGGAUAAGGUCCAUGAACUCAGCAACAUGGACUUGAUGCUGAAGCUGCAUUAUGUCAAGGGAAUAUACUUCUUUAGAAGUGGAGCAGCACGAGGGCUAACCAUAAAUGACCUGAAAAAACCAAUGUUUGAAUGCUUAGCCCUCUACUCCACUUUGUCGGGGAGAAUUAGAAAGUCCGAAGAUGGAAGACCAUUCAUCAAAUGCAAUGAUAGCGGUGUUCGUAUUGCCGAGGCAAAGUGCAGUAAAACUUUGGAUGAAUGGCUGGCUUUCAACGAUGAUUCCCUCAACGAUCAGCUAAUUUACAGCCAGUUCCUUGCUCCUGAUGCCGGAUUCACUCCUCUUGUUUUUGUCCAGUUCACAUGGUUCAAAUGUGGAGGAAUCUCAAUUGGACUAAGUUGGGCUCAUAUUGUGGGAGAUGCAUUCUCAGCUUCACACUUCAUCAACAUGUGGGGCCAGAUCUUGACAGGUCAAGUGCCACCUCAUCAUCUCGACGCCCACAACCCCAAAAACCGAAAAAAGUUCCCCUCCCCACUUGCCAAGGUACCACUUUCUGUCCAGAGGGUACUGCUGGAGUCGGAUGGUGGCCAUUGGCUCAUUCCCAAUCACAGAAAAAUGAGAGCCCAUUCCUUCCACGUAACUCCAAAACAGUUGAAUCGUUUGACCGAAGAAGCUAAACUGGCAAAGCCCUUUGAAGUCAUCUCGGCAGUGAUAUGGAAGUCUUUGGCCAAGACAAGUGGCAAAGCAGAAGAGCCUAAAGUUGUGACAUUAAUCUCUAGCACUUGGGAUAAAGAAAAUGGACUGCCGAGCAAUUCUCGAGUCAUCAUUAGCACAAUUGAAGCGGCUGAGGCUCCGCCUGCACAGGCUGAUUUAGCAGACUUGGCCAGGCUGAUUGCUCGGAAACAGGAGGACGAGACCCAUUUAGUUGAACGAGUGAUGUAUCAGAAGGGCAGUGAUGAUGGAGAGUCUCGCGACUUUAUCUUAUACGGCGCCCGUCUCACCUUUGUAAAUUUGGAGAAGAUGAAUAUUUACGGGCUGAAAAUGAGCGGCCAUCAUCAACCAGUUUUUGCAAGUUAUUCUGUAAGUGGGGUUGGGGAUGAAGGUGCAGUUUUGGUGCUGCCGGGACCUCCUCCUGGGACUGAGAGUGGCAAAGAUGAAGGGGAAGGGUAAUAAAUUUGAUUCUGCCCGAAAAUCAACUCGACGAACUCAAGUAUCGACUUGGAAGCGAGUGGGGUAUACAUUAAUCAGCUGAAAACCUGGACAAAUCCUUGGUUGGCUGGAGAUGGAAGUUGCUGAAUAUUUGAUCGUUCAUUUGUCAAACGAACGCGUUUCAUCUCUCGGUUUCUUGUUGUGUGUUCCAUCUCCUUCAGUUAAAGGGAAGCUAAUGCUGCAAAGAAAAAAAAUAUGGCCCUUGCUCCUUCGGGUCUUGGACCUACAGCUCGCCUCUCAAAAAGAAACGCGGAGCUGAUGUCCAGGAAGCGGCUUCACCAGGCAUAUACACAGGUGUUCGUGUUUCUGCUGGUUCUGAUCAGCCAUGUAGUGCCUAUCGUGCUAAUGUUGGAACCAGCCAGUGUCCACCUCCUAAACAAAGUUCUUUUGCUGAUCCUGCCAAUGUUACUUUGGGUGGUCAUCGAGCAUCUUUACCAGGUUCUGUAUCCAUUGAGUUGUUGUUUCUUCUGUCUGGUGUUUCGGCUCUCAUACAAUUGCCUGCGUGACAACGCCAUCCACUAACGAAAAUCCACUUACCAAUUCAAAUUCUCUCCUGCUGAAAAAGUUACCCCGAACACGCGAAUGCUUCCAAACAUUCCUUUUUUCUAACCUCAAUGCCUUCGUACUCACUCCUAACGAGCUACCAAAGUGCAUGUCAAAGGUUAUAGGACAAAAAAAUACAAAUGUGCUUACAUUUGCAAUAUAUAUUCUGUAACCCUGUUAAGAAUUCAAAACAAGCACGGUCAGCUAAAUAAUUUCUCUGUACAACAAAUCUAUUUUUAAACAAAUGCUUACUGUCCUCUCAA